This is a long non-coding RNA of Mustela lutreola (European mink), 367 nucleotides long. RefSeq lists it as uncharacterized. The record is from RefSeq and is a predicted model, not a curated record. NCBI's taxonomy places the organism in Eukaryota, Metazoa, Chordata, Mammalia, Carnivora, Mustelidae. The transcript is spliced from 3 exons.
UCGGUCACUAACUCUCAGGGCUCAGUUGCCUGAGGACAUCAGUGCGAUGGGACUGUUUUUUGAAGAAAGAGAUGGAGAAAUAUCUCUUCCCUUGGGAAUUCCUUACUGAUGGUUGGCUGAGCUCCAGUCCCACUACCUGGGCAGUUAAUGCUGCCCUCGCAUUCAUAUGGGGGCUGGGGCUCUUCUUCCUUUUACUCUCCUAUUUCCAGCCUGAUCCAUCCUCACCACCAGGCAAGAAACACAGGAAGAGCAGGAAGUGCCAAGCAGAGCCACGGAGGAGCAACGGAAGGAAGAAAAACCAGACUGUGAAAGUUUUCAGAGAUUGCCUACAAGAUCUGGAAGAGGUUCAGGACCUAUUCUCCCUUCU